RNAcentral lists this ribosomal RNA (497 nucleotides) under uncultured bacterium. RNAcentral describes it as "partial 16S ribosomal RNA". It matches the Rfam family "Bacterial small subunit ribosomal RNA", at positions 28 to 507 of the family's 1533-position model. The record is from RNAcentral.
GAUGAACGCUGGCGGCGUGCCUAAUACAUGCCAGUCGAGCGAACAGAUAAGGAGCUUGCUCCUUUGACGUUAGCGGCGGACGGGUGAGUAACACGUGGAUAACCUACCUAUAAGACUGGGAUAACUUCGGGAAACCGGAGCUAAUACCGGAUAACAUAUUGAACCGCAUGGUUCAAUAGUGAAAGGCGGCUUUGCUGUCACUUAUAGAUGGAUCCGCGCCGUAUUAGCUAGUUGGUAAGGUAACGGCUUACCAAGGCAACGAUACGUAGCCGACCUGAGAGGGUGAUCGGCCACACUGGAACUGAGACACGGUCCAGACUCCUACGGGAGGCAGCAGUAGGGAAUCUUCCGCAAUGGGCGAAAGCCUGACGGAGCAACGCCGCGUGAGUGAUGAAGGUCUUCGGAUCGUAAAACUCUGUUAUCAGGGAAGAACAAAUGUGUAAGUAACUGUGCACAUCCUGACGGUACCUGAUCAGAAAGCCACGGCUAACUACGUG